AGGCUGUGGUGAGCCAUUAUGGUGUCCCUGCACUCUAGCCUGGGCAAUACAGCGAGACCGUGUCUCAAAAAGAGGUGGGGAGCAGAAUUUGGAGACAGACAUGCACACAGGGAGAAUACCACAUAGAGGUGAAGGCGGAGAUCAGGGUGAUGCUUCUGCAAGCCAAGGAACAUCAUUGAUUGCCAGCAAAUUACCAGAAGCCAGGAGAGAGGCACGGAACAGAUUCUUCCUCACAGCUCUCAGAAGGAACCAACCCUGCCCACACCUUGAUCUCAGACUUUCCACCUGCAC
This 291-nucleotide long non-coding RNA is filed under the name Homo sapiens (human). Its description in RNAcentral is "HSALNT0187961". Lineage: Eukaryota; Metazoa; Chordata; Mammalia; Primates; Hominidae. The record is from RNAcentral.